RNAcentral lists this unclassified non-coding RNA (618 nucleotides) under Hevea brasiliensis (rubber tree). The record is from RNAcentral. Lineage: Eukaryota; Viridiplantae; Streptophyta; Magnoliopsida; Malpighiales; Euphorbiaceae.
AUCAUACUCUUCAGUCUUCAGUGCUUCACAUGAAGAUGCUUUCCGUUGUUUAAUUUGGUCUAAUGACAAGCAAUUUAAAAAUGACUGCUUUUUUCUUUUGGUUGACACGUGUGUGUUUCUCCAUUUGUCUAUUUCCCUUUGACAUGAUGUGUUUCGUUCUUAAGCACUGAAUCUGCUCUUCUUCGGCAACUGUGCCUUUCUUCAAUGCUUUUUCUUGUAAAGGUAAGCAAUUGUCACAUCUCACUUGGUUGGGUUUCUGUUUUUUUGUUUAAAUAUAGUGUUUUAUUUAAAGAAUUCCUGGGACUGUUUGGAGUUUUUGUUUUUGAUAAAUUUUUGAAAGAGGCAUAUCCCUGAAGAUCAGGUGAUUACUCUGUUCUUGUCUUCUUAGCUUGGGCAGUUGGAAGGUGCCUAAGUAGAAAAAAAUAGAAGAGAAAAGAACCUAUAUGUCAAGAGGCUGAGAUAAAUUGCCUCUGUUUCAGGGAACCUGGUUUGCUUGUGUAUUUCCUUUACUUUGCUCGUAUUACUAAUUCUCAUAUUUUUCUCAUUUGAUCCUUACUUUUUAUGACCAAAAGGAUCAAAAGGUUGGUUGGAGGUAGAAAACUCUCUCUCUCUCUCUCU